RNAcentral lists this ribosomal RNA (402 nucleotides) under uncultured Acidobacterium sp. RNAcentral describes it as "bacterial SSU rRNA". It matches the Rfam family "Bacterial small subunit ribosomal RNA", at positions 355 to 774 of the family's 1533-position model. Lineage: Bacteria; Pseudomonadati; Acidobacteriota; Terriglobia; Terriglobales; Acidobacteriaceae. The record is from RNAcentral.
UCGGGAAUUUUGGGCAAUGGGCGAAAGCCUGACCCAGCAACGCCGCGUGAAGGAUGAAGUAUUUCGGUAUGUAAACUUCGUAAGAAUAGGAAGAAUCAAUGACGGUACUAUUUGUAAGCUCCGGCUAACUACGUGCCAGCAGCCGCGGUAAUACGUAGGGGGCAAGCGUUGUUCGGAUUUACUGGGCGUAAAGGGCGCGUAGGCGGCGUGACAAGUCACUUGUGAAAUCUCCGGGCUUAACCCGGAACGGUCAAGUGAUACUGUUGUGCUAGAGUGCAGAAAGGGCAAUUGGAAUUCUCGGUGUAGCGGUGAAAUGCGUAGAUAUCGAGAGGAACACCAGAGGCGAAGGCGAAUUGCUAGGCUGACACUGACGCUGAGGCGCGAAAGCUAGGGGAGCGAACG